UAAUACGGAGGGUGCAAGCGUUAAUCGGAAUUACUGGGCGUAAAGCGCACGCAGGCGGUCUGUCAAGUCGGAUGUGAAAUCCCCGGGCUCAACCUGGGAACUGCAUUCGAAACUGGCAGGCUUGAGUCUUGUAGAGGGGGGUAGAAUUCCAGGUGUAGCGGUGAAAUGCGUAGAGAUCUGGAGGAAUACCGGUGGCGAAGGCGGCCCCCUGGACAAAGACUGACGCUCAGGUGCGAAAGCGUGGGGAGCAAACAGGAUUAGAUACCCUGGUAGUCCACGCCGUAAACGAUGUCUACUUGGAGGUUGUGCCCUUGAGGCGUGGCUUCCGGAGCUAACGCGUUAAGUAGACCGCCUGGGGAGUACGGCCGCAAGGUUAAAACUCAAAUGAAUUGACGGGGGCCCGCACAAGCGGUGGAGCAUGUGGUUUAAUUCGAUGCAACGCGAAGAACCUUAC
Molecule: ribosomal RNA, 454 nt
Filed under: Salmonella enterica
Lineage: Bacteria; Pseudomonadati; Pseudomonadota; Gammaproteobacteria; Enterobacterales; Enterobacteriaceae
Also listed under: 1 other name
Description: bacterial SSU rRNA
Rfam family: Bacterial small subunit ribosomal RNA
Source: RNAcentral